Nycticebus coucang (slow loris) is the source of this 105-nucleotide small nuclear RNA. NCBI's taxonomy places the organism in Eukaryota, Metazoa, Chordata, Mammalia, Primates, Lorisidae. The record is from RefSeq and is a predicted model, not a curated record.
AUACCACAAUUUGUCACAUAUACCAAAAUUGGAACGAUACAGAGAAGAUUAGCAUGACCUCUGCACAAGGAUGAUACACAAAUUCGUGAAGGUUUCCUCCUGUUU